GAUUAAGUUAUUAAGGGCGCACGGUGGAUGCCUUGGCACUAGAAGCCGAUGAAGGACGUUACUAACGACGAUAUGCUUUGGGGAGCUGUAAGUAAGCUUUGAUCCAGAGAUUUCCGAAUGGGGAAACCCAGCAUGAGUUAUGUCAUGUUAUCGAUAUGUGAAUACAUAGCAUAUCAGAAGGCACACCCGGAGAACUGAAACAUCUUAGUACCCGGAGGAAGAGAAAGAAAAUUCGAUUCCCUUAGUAGCGGCGAGCGAAACGGGAAGAGCCCAAACCAACAAGCUUGCUUGUUGGGGUUGUAGGACACUCUAUACGGAGUUACAAAGGACGACAUUAGACGAAUCAUCUGGAAAGAUGAAUCAAAGAAGGUAAUAAUCCUGUAGUCGAAAAUGUUGUCUCUCUUGAGUGGAUCCUGAGUACGACGGAGCACGUGAAAUUCCGUCGGAAUCUGGGAGGACCAUCUCCUAAGGCUAAAUACUCUCUAGUGACCGAUAGUGAACCAGUACCGUGAGGGAAAGGUGAAAAGCACCCCGGAAGGGGAGUGAAAUAGAACCUGAAACC
This 562-nucleotide ribosomal RNA is filed under the name Staphylococcus aureus. RNAcentral describes it as "partial 23S ribosomal RNA". It matches the Rfam family "Bacterial large subunit ribosomal RNA", at positions 1 to 557 of the family's 2925-position model. Lineage: Bacteria; Bacillati; Bacillota; Bacilli; Caryophanales; Staphylococcaceae. The record is from RNAcentral.